AUCACCUGGGGAGAUGGCAGGGCUAAGAUACUCAACAGUGGGAAGCUUCUUACCCUUAACCUUGACAAAGCCUCUGGGUCUGGAUUUCAAUCCAAGAACGAGUAUCUGUUUGGGAAGAUUGAUAUGCAGCUCAAGCUUGUGCCUGGCAACUCUGCUGGAACUGUCACUGCUUAUUAUUUAUCUUCAAAAGGGCCGNNACUUGGGAUGAGAUAGAUUAUGAGUUCUUGGGGAAUUUGAGCGGUGAUCCUUACAUUCUCCACACAAACGUGUUUAGCCAAGGCAAAGGCAACAGAGA
Molecule: unclassified non-coding RNA, 295 nt
Filed under: Hevea brasiliensis (rubber tree)
Lineage: Eukaryota; Viridiplantae; Streptophyta; Magnoliopsida; Malpighiales; Euphorbiaceae
Source: RNAcentral